This is an RNA transcript of Brassica napus (rape), 3222 nucleotides long. It is a transcript of the gene named phosphatidylinositol 4-kinase gamma 4-like, with no coding region annotated. Lineage: Eukaryota; Viridiplantae; Streptophyta; Magnoliopsida; Brassicales; Brassicaceae. The transcript is spliced from 4 exons. The record is from RefSeq and is a predicted model, not a curated record.
UAAACUUUUGUGUAAUACGCGUCAUCUACGCAAACUAGGUGACGACACGUGUAAUCUAUACCCUUCUCCCUUUUCAAAAAAUCUCUCUCUCUCUCUCUCUAAAGUCUAUGACCCUUGUUUCUCUCUAGCUGCCAUUGAUCGAAGUAUCGAACCCUAACUCACAGACCUUACUAUUAUUGGAUCCUCCUUAAAGCUCCGUGUCGCGUCCUCCUUUGCUCUUUGGUUCUUUCCUUCUGGGUUUAUUGCAAGAAGAAGAAGAAGCGAUGGAUUUGUGAAUUUUAGUGAUAAUCGCGUCGGUUUGUUGUAUAUUAGCAAAGUUCGUAGCUUUUUCUCGAAAUCCUUGAAAGAUGUCAUCAGCUGAUGUUACGUUAAGCCCGGUUCGUAACGAGCCAUCGAUGAUGCCUCUCGUCCAUGCCAAUUCCUGUGCUGAUUCCCUCCCUGACGAGACCAUUUUGAUCUACCUGACACUCCCCGGAACUCUUAUACCAAUGCGAGUGCUCGAAUCCGAUUCCAUCGAGUCCGUUAAGCUCCGGAUCCAGUCUUACCGUGGGUUUGUAGUGAGGAACCAGAAGCUCGUUUUCGGUGGGCGAGAGCUAGCGAGGAGUAACUCCAACAUGCGUGACUACGGUGUGAGUGAUGGCAACGUUCUUCAUUUGGUUGUCAAGGUCUCUGAUCUCCAGGUUCUUGAUGUGAAGACCACUUGUGGGAAGCACUGCAGGUUUCACGUUGAGAGAGGGAGGAACAUUGGGUAUGUGAAGAAGCAGAUUUCAAAGCAGAAAGGUGGGGACUUUGUUGAUUCCGAGGUGCUUUAUGAAGGUGAGAAGCUUGAGGACCAGAGUCUUGUUAACGACAUUUGUAGGAACAGUGACGCUGUUUUGCAUUUGCUUGUGAGGAGAUCUGCUAAAGUUAGGGCUAAGCCUGUGGAGAAGAACUUUGAGUUGUCUAUUGUUGCUCCUCCGCGAGUUGAUGAUGUCAAGAGAGUUAUUGAAGCUGAUGAUGGUAUUGUGCAGCCAAGGAAGCAGCUUUUGAAUGACUUCUCUUUGGAGCCGGUUAUAGUUAAUCCCAAGGCGGAGUUGCCUGAAGUGGUUAAAGAUAUGGUUAGCUCUGCUUCUGAUGGACUGAGAAGUGGGAAUCCUCCUGUGAGGUCAAGAGAGGGGACGGGAGGUGCUUAUUUCAUGCAGGGGUCUUCCGGGAACAAAUAUGUUGGUGUGUUUAAGCCUCUCGAUGAGGAACCAACGGCUGAGAACAAUCCACACGGACUGCCACUUUCGCCAAAUGGAGAAGGUUUGAAGAAAGGAACAAAGGUUGGAGAAGGUGCGUUGAGGGAAGUUGCUGCUUACAUAUUGGAUCAUCCCAAGAGUGGACGCCGAUAUAUGUGUGGUGAAGAGAUGGGUUUUGCCGGUGUGCCUCCCACGACUAUGAUUGAAUGUCUGCAUCCUGGUUUUAACCAUCCCAAUGGAAUCAAAACCAAGAUCGGAUCACUUCAGAUGUUUACCGAGAAUGAUGGCAGCUGUGAGGAUAUGGGUCCAGCUUCAUUUCCAGUAGAGGAAGUUCACAAGAUAUCUGUUCUGGAUAUUAGACUGGCCAAUGCAGAUAGGCAUGGUGGUAACAUUUUAAUGAGAAAGGACGAGAACGGAAAGAUUGUUCUGAUUCCAAUUGAUCAUGGAUACAGCUUGCCUGAAAGCUUUGAGGAUUGCACGUUCGAGUGGCUUUACUGGUCACAAGCUCGGAAACCAUACUCUUCCGAGACACUGGACUACAUAAGAUCACUGGACGCAGAGGAAGAUAUCAGCCUCCUCAAGUUCCAUGGAUGGAAGAUGCCAUUGGAAACCGCUAGAACACUCAGAAUCUCAACGAUGCUACUGAAGAAAGGAGCAGAAAGAGGGUUGACAGCGUUUGAGAUUGGGAACAUGAUGUGCAGAGAAACUCUGACCAAGAAAUCUCUAGUGGAGGAAAUGGUAGAGGAAGCUGAAGAAGCGGUGCUUCCCGAGACGAGCGAGGCUACAUUCAUGGAAGCCUUGUCUGAUGUGAUGGAUUAUCAUCUUGAUGAGGUGGUUCAUGUGUGAAUCGUUCUCUUAACUUGAAACUAUGGGUACAUAUACUCUUCGUUUGCCUCCAUAUGAAUCUGGUGGCUUUUGUUAAUUUCUGUCAUUCUUUGGACAUGUGCAAGUUGCUUUUGUUGAUUUCACUGCGACAUAUUUCCUGGUAGAAAACCUGUGAAACUCGAAAUUUGUCACACUAGCCAACCGUACAACUGAUACACAGAACAUCACAAAAAAAGGCAAAUCAACGAGAGAAACAGGAGAAAGAGGCACAGAGAUAUAGCACAAACCAAUUCACUGUUAGAGUAGUUCAUAUAGAUUCUUCUUUUCAGAUGUUAACUGGGAAAUGACUGAUGAUCAAAGCUCACUUUGUUGAAGGCCUUGUGGACCAAAGCUUUCACCUAAUGAUCUCAGUACCUAAUGCCCUCGUGGUCAAAGGGUUGACCUACAAUACAACACGUGUGAAUGCUUUCAAAUCCACUAGUACGUGUGAAAUGUGAAGCGGCAACACGUUGUGCCACCCAGCUGAAACGUGGCAUAAUCUGUUUGUUUCAUCAUCCUUGUUUUAGUUGAUAAGUAUGAGAGAGAGAGAAGACAUGAAUGUUUGGGUGGUAAGAAAGAUGGAGAAGAAGAGUAAGGAGAAAGGAGAAGCUGAGAAAACAAGACAAGAAGAAGAAGAAGAAGAAGAAGAAAGAAAGAAAAACAAAGAGAAAAAAGAUGGGGGAGAGAGUAACAGUGAAGGGUCUUCCACACGAGCAAGUGCCUCAGCCCGGCAGAGAUUUCUCCAGCGAAGCUCUCGAGAAUCUCCCAAAUCCCAAGUGAAGUGAAGUAAAGUGUUUGUUUCGAGCUCGUGUAAAAAGUUUAUUUUCUCUAGUGAAAGUUUGCUCAACCAUAAUGAGCUGCACCACCUUGAUACUAACACAGUCUCUCUCUCUUCUUUGAUCACGUUUGUUUGGGGAUGUGUAUAUCAGAACAUGCGAGAGAGCAAAGAGAUGGUAGGAGUGUGAACGUUGCUUCCACAUGAUUAAUGGUUCAUAUGCUCUUUCUCGAGUGAAAGAAAUAAUCAAUGGUUUUCAUUCAUAAAUACUUGAGAUGUUGGAUCCCAAUACCAAGGUACUCGUCUGAAUUAAGUUGAAGUAUUGUAACAGCUACAAUUAAUGCCACUAAUCUUGACAAAACA